GAUGAACGCUGGCGGCGUGCCUAAUACAUGCAAGUCGAGCGAACAGACGAGGAGCUUGCUCCUCUGACGUUAGCGGCGGACGGGUGAGUAACACGUGGAUAACCUACCUAUAAGACUGGGAUAACUUCGGGAAACCGGAGCUAAUACCGGAUAAUAUAUUGAACCGCAUGGUUCAAUAGUGAAAGACGGUUUUGCUGUCACUUAUAGAUGGAUCCGCGCCGCAUUAGCUAGUUGGUAAGGUAACGGCUUACCAAGGCAACGAUGCGUAGCCGACCUGAGAGGGGGGUCCGCCAAACUGGAAACGAAAAACGGUCCAGACCCCUAAGGGAGGCAGCAGUAGGGAAUUCUGCGCAAUGGGCGAAAGCCUGACGGAGCAACCCCGCGUGGGUGAAGAAGGGUUUCGGAUUGGAAAAACCUUUUAUUAGGGAAGAACAAAUGUGUAAGUAACUAUGCACGUCUUGACGGUACCUAAUCAGAAAGCCACGGCUAACUACGUG
This 497-nucleotide ribosomal RNA is filed under the name uncultured bacterium. RNAcentral describes it as "partial 16S ribosomal RNA". It matches the Rfam family "Bacterial small subunit ribosomal RNA", at positions 28 to 507 of the family's 1533-position model. The record is from RNAcentral.